GCUCCUGUGGCGCAAUCGGUCAGCGCACGGUACUUAUAAGACUGUAAUCUGCAGAGUGAUGCAGAGGUUGUGAGUUUGAGCCUCGCCUGGAGCA
This 94-nucleotide transfer RNA is filed under the name Perca flavescens (yellow perch). It matches the Rfam family "tRNA". From Rfam's summary of the family: Transfer RNA (tRNA) molecules are approximately 80 nucleotides in length. Their secondary structure includes four short double-helical elements and three loops (D, anti-codon, and T loops). Lineage: Eukaryota; Metazoa; Chordata; Actinopteri; Perciformes; Percidae. The record is from Rfam by way of RNAcentral.